Thalictrum thalictroides is the source of this 218-nucleotide non-coding RNA. The record is from the annotation of a GenBank genome assembly. NCBI's taxonomy places the organism in Eukaryota, Viridiplantae, Streptophyta, Magnoliopsida, Ranunculales, Ranunculaceae.
ACGACCUUACUUGAACAGGAUCUGUUCUAUAGGGAAGUACCUCUGUAUCCUUGAGUAAAAAGGAGACGGUAACCAAAACCUGGUCGAUGAAUCAGGACCGUGCGAUCAGAGCGUGAUUAAUGGCUGGUGAACCAUGUGAUGGGUUCUCUGGCUGUAGAGGAUCGUUCUCAGCUGCCCCUGUGGUUGGCUGAGAUGGUCGUGCGGUUGUCUGACAGGUU